This 532-nucleotide long non-coding RNA is filed under the name Ananas comosus (pineapple). RNAcentral describes it as "long non-coding RNA (ACOM_LNC036522)". The record is from RNAcentral. Lineage: Eukaryota; Viridiplantae; Streptophyta; Magnoliopsida; Poales; Bromeliaceae.
AAACCAUCAAAACACAAGUCAAGAGGAGAGAAUAAGCUUCUAAUGUAACAUACCAGAUUUUGGUAUAAAAAUAAAAAUAAAUAAAAUAGUGUGAGAUACUAUUUUUAUUGGAUUUAUAGAAGUAAAACAUAAGUCAGAAGUGACUUGUGCUGAAAUCGGAAUGAAAACAGAAGAUCUAGAAUUUUCUGUUGGAAACGGGACAGAUAAAUUAGCAGAAAAAUGCACAGUCUCAAAAAAUUAUGAAAAUUAGAGGAUAAGUCAGAAAUAUUUUUAUGAGGUUAGAUUUAAAGUUUCAUAUUUUUCUGACACCCGUAGAGUGAGAAAUAAAAUCCAACAACUAUCUGAUAAAGAUUACAGUUCGGCACAGUUUUCGGUGACCAAAUGGGGUCGAAACUGAAAACUUAAAAUAUAUUCUUACUCAGUACGUUAAACUGAGCCUGCCUGUCAAAUUUGAGCUCAAACGGACAUUCAGAAGGGCUCCAACUGUUCCGAACUGUUAAAACUGCCUGAAGUGAAUAGUGUUUUGGAGUGU